This 497-nucleotide ribosomal RNA is filed under the name uncultured bacterium. RNAcentral describes it as "partial 16S ribosomal RNA". It matches the Rfam family "Bacterial small subunit ribosomal RNA", at positions 28 to 507 of the family's 1533-position model. The record is from RNAcentral.
GAUGAACGCUGGCGGCGUGCCUAAUACAUGCAAGUCGAGCGAACAGACGAGGAGCUUGCUCCUCUGACGUUAGCGGCGGACGGGUGAGUAACACGUGGAUAACCUACCUAUAAGACUGGGAUAACUUCGGGAACCCGGAGCUAAUACCGGAUAUUAUAUUGAACCGCAUGGUUCAAUAGUGCAAACCGGUUUUGCUGUCACUUAUAGAUGGAUCCGCGCCGCAUUAGCUAGUUGGUAAGGUAACGGCUUACCAAGGCAACGAUGCGUAGCCGACCUGAGAGGGUGAUCGGCCACACUGGAACUGAGACACGGUCCAGACUCCUACGGGAGGCAGCAAUAGGGAAUCUUCCGCAAAGGGCGAAAGCCUGACGGAGCAACGCCGCGUGAGUGAUGAAGGUCUUCGGAUCGUAAAACUCUGUUAUUAGGGAAGAACAAAUGUGUAAGUAACUAUGCACGUCUUGACGGUACCUAAUCAGAAAGCCACGGCUAACUACGUG